RNAcentral lists this ribosomal RNA (197 nucleotides) under uncultured bacterium. RNAcentral describes it as "partial 16S ribosomal RNA". It matches the Rfam family "Bacterial small subunit ribosomal RNA", at positions 328 to 539 of the family's 1533-position model. The record is from RNAcentral.
ACGCUCGACACCUACGGGGGCAGCAGUGGGGAAUAUUGCACAAUGGGGGAAACCCUGAUGCAGCGACGCCGCGUGAGUGAAGAAGUAUUUCGGUAUGUAAAGCUCUAUCAGCAGGGAAGAGAAUGACGGUACCUGACUAAGAAGCCCCGGCUAACUACGUGCCAGUAGCCGCGGUAAUCUGAGCGGGCUGGCAAGGC